GCAAUGGUGGUUCAGUGGCAGAAUUCUCGCUUUUCAUGUGAGAGACCCAGGUUUGAUUCCUAGCCAAUGCA
Molecule: transfer RNA, 71 nt
Organism: Loxodonta africana (African savanna elephant)
Lineage: Eukaryota; Metazoa; Chordata; Mammalia; Proboscidea; Elephantidae
Rfam family: tRNA
About the family: Transfer RNA (tRNA) molecules are approximately 80 nucleotides in length.
Source: Rfam